AGCGAACGCUGGCGGCAGGCUUAACACAUGCAAGUCGAGCGGGCAUCUUCGGAUGUCAGCGGCAGACGGGUGAGUAACACGUGGGAACGUACCCUUCGGUUCGGAACAACUCUGGGAAACUGGAGCUAAUACCGGAUACGCCCUUAUGGGGAAAGGUUUACUGCCGAAGGAUCGGCCCGCGUCUGAUUAGCUAGUUGGUGGGGUAACGGCCUACCAAGGCGACGAUCAGUAGCUGGUCUGAGAGGAUGAUCAGCCACACUGGGACUGAGACACGGCCCAGACUCCUACGGGAGGCAGCAGUGGGGAAUAUUGGACAAUGGGCGCAAGGCUGAUCCAGCCAUGCCGCGUGAGUGAUGAAGGCCUUAGGGUUGUAAAGCUCUUUUGUCCGGGACGAUAAUGACGGUACCGGAAGAAUAAGCCCCGGCUAACUUCGUG
This 435-nucleotide ribosomal RNA is filed under the name uncultured bacterium. Its description in RNAcentral is "partial 16S ribosomal RNA". It matches the Rfam family "Bacterial small subunit ribosomal RNA", at positions 29 to 507 of the family's 1533-position model. The record is from RNAcentral.